UGAGUCUUCGAGUCGUUGAUUUCACACUGCCGAGAAAAGCCUCUAGAUAGAAAAUAGGUGCCCGUACCGCAAACCGACACAGGUAGUCAAGAUGAGAAUUCUAAGGUGAGCGAGCGAACUCUCGUUAAGGAACUCGGCAAAAUGACCCCGUAACUUCGGGAGAAGGGGUGCUCUUUAGGGUUAACGCCCAGAAGAGCCGCAGUGAAUAGGCCCAAGCGACUGUUUAUCAAAAACACAGGUCUCUGCUAAACCGUAAGGUGAUGUAUAGGGGCUGACGCCUGCCCGGUGCUGGAAGGUUAAGAGGAGUGGUUAGCUUCUGCGAAGCUACGAAUCGAAGCCCCAGUAAACGGCGGCCGUAACUAUAACGGUCCUAAGGUAGCGAAAUUCCUUGUCGGGUAAGUUCCGACCCGCACGAAAGGCGUAACGAUUUGGGCACUGUCUCAACGAGAGACUCGGUGAAAUCAUAGUACCUGUGAAGAUGCAGGUUACCCGCGACAGGACGGAAAGACCCCGUGGAGCUUUACUGUAGCCUGAUAUUGAAAUUCGGCACAGCUUGUACAGGAUAGGUAGGAGCCUUUGAAACGUGAGCGCUAGCUUACGUGGAGGCGCUGGUGGGAUACUACCCUAGCUGUGUUGGCUUUCUAACCCGCACCACUUAUCGUGGUGGGAGACAGUGUCAGGCGGGCAGUUUGACUGGGGCGGUCGCCUCCUAAAAGGUAACGGAGGCGCUCAAAGGUUCCCUCAGAAUGGUUGGAAAUCAUUCAUAGAGUGUAAAGGCAUAAGGGAGCUUGACUGCGAGACCUACAAGUCGAGCAGGGUCGAAAGACGGACUUAGUGAUCCGGUGGUUCCGCAUGGAAGGGCCAUCGCUCAACGGAUAAAAGCUACCCCGGGGAUAACAGGCUUAUCUCCCCCAAGAGUUCACAUCGACGGGGAGGUUUGGCACCUCGAUGUCGGCUCAUCGCAUCCUGGGGCUGUAGUCGGUCCCAAGGGUUGGGCUGUUCGCCCAUUAAAGCGGUACGCGAGCUGGGUUCAGAACGUCGUGAGACAGUUCGGUCCCUAUCCGUCGUGGGCGUAGGAAAUUUGAGAGGAGCUGUCCUUAGUACGAGAGGACCGGGAUGGACAUACCUCUGGUGUACCAGUUGUCGUGCCAACGGCAUAGCUGGGUAGCUAUGUGUGGACGGGAUAAGUGCUGAAAGCAUCUAAGCAUGAAGCCCCCCUCAAGAUGAGAUUUCCCAACUUCGGUUAUAAGAUCCCUCAAAGAUGAUGAGGUUAAUAGGUUCGAGGUGGAAGCAUGGUGACAUGUGGAGCUGACGAAUACUAAUCGAUCGAAGACUUAAUCAA
RNAcentral lists this ribosomal RNA (1342 nucleotides) under Staphylococcus aureus. RNAcentral's name for it is "partial 23S ribosomal RNA". It matches the Rfam family "Bacterial large subunit ribosomal RNA", at positions 1579 to 2925 of the family's 2925-position model. The record is from RNAcentral. Lineage: Bacteria; Bacillati; Bacillota; Bacilli; Caryophanales; Staphylococcaceae.